AGGACGAACGCUGGCGGCGUGCUUAACACAUGCAAGUCGAGCGGUAAGGCCUUUCGGGGUACACGAGCGGCGAACGGGUGAGUAACACGUGGGUGAUCUGCCCUGCACUCUGGGAUAAGCCUGGGAAACUGGGUCUAAUACCGGAUAUGACCUGCUCUCGCAUGGGGGUGGGUGGAAAGAUUUAUCGGUGCAGGAUGGGGCCCG
Molecule: ribosomal RNA, 204 nt
Filed under: uncultured soil bacterium
Lineage: Bacteria
Description: partial 16S ribosomal RNA
Rfam family: Bacterial small subunit ribosomal RNA
Source: RNAcentral